AGAUGUCACUUGCCCUGUGGUAAGGAAGUGUAGUUGGCAGCUGGUGCAGUGGCAAGAAGAGAAAGGAAGUUCCCCAAGACAGAAACAUCUCGGCAGGUUUGGAAUAGUUCACCAGUGAAGUCAUCUCAACCAGCACAGGGCCUUGACUCCUAACAACAAUCACACGAACUUGGAAGAGGAUCCUUCCCCAGCUGAAACUUCACUUGAGACCUUCUCAUUGGCCAUCAUCGACAUCUGGAUUCAUGAUACAGAGAAACUGCUUUGAAUAACUCACCAGUGAAGUCAUCUUGACCUGGACAGAAAUUGAAUCCUCCCAAGAAUCCCAGGAGCUUGGAAGGGGAUCCUUCCCCAGAUGAGCCUUCCCUUGAAAUCUCUGCCAGGCAUCUGACCCAGAGAAACUGUCAGAGAGGUUAAUCCUAAGAACAGUUACAUAAGCUUGGAAGGAGACCUUUCCCCAGAUGGGCCAUAGCCUGGGCCAUCACCUACAUCUGGACUGAAGAACCAGAGAAACUACUCCAUCAGGAAUCGUUUGGGACCGUGGGUUCUGUUGACACUCACAUUGUGUAAUUAUGUUGCCCACUGCCAACCCUAAAGCCACCAAGGUAGCAGGUUUCAAAUAAUUCAUCAGUGAAUUCUCCUCAACCUGGUCAAUCAUGUGAACUUAGAAGAUGAUUCCUCCCCAGCUGAUCCUCAGGUGAGACCUCAGCCUUGGCCAUCAUCUAUAUCUGGAUUCCUGACCCAGAGAAACUGAAUACACUUUACUGAAUCAUGAAAAGCUGUAAAUAGCUGAAAAGAAAAAUGUGGUCUUGACUCUGAAAAACAACAAAAAGGAUCAGCAACAUUUCAAGCAACAAGUCAUAAAACGAUUACUGUGGUCUUGUAUUAGUUCAGUCCAUGCAGUGAACUUUGUCUGACAUUGGGCCUGCAGUCCUCAUAAACAUACCAGCUAUCUCU
RNAcentral lists this long non-coding RNA (954 nucleotides) under Homo sapiens (human). Its description in RNAcentral is "Prader-Willi region non-protein coding RNA 1". Lineage: Eukaryota; Metazoa; Chordata; Mammalia; Primates; Hominidae. The record is from RNAcentral.